This 400-nucleotide ribosomal RNA is filed under the name uncultured bacterium. Its description in RNAcentral is "bacterial SSU rRNA". It matches the Rfam family "Bacterial small subunit ribosomal RNA", at positions 359 to 776 of the family's 1533-position model. The record is from RNAcentral.
GAAUCUUGGACAAUGGGCGCAAGCCUGAUCCAGCCAUGCCGCGUGAGUGAUGAAGGCCUUAGGGUUGUAAAACUCUUUCGUCGGGGACGAUAAUGACGGUACCCGAAGAAGAAGCCCCGGCUAACUUCGUGCCCGCAGCCGCGGUAAUACGAAGGGGGCUAGCGUUGUUCGGAUUUACUGGGCGUAAAGCGCGUGUAGGCGGGCUGGUAAGUUGGGGGUGAAAUCCCGAGGCUCAACCUCGGAACUGCCUCCAAAACUGUCAGCCUGGACUCAAGUAGAGGCAAGUGGAAUUGCGAGUGUAGAGGUGAAAUUCGUAGAUAUUCGCAGGAACACCAGUGGCGAAGGCGACUUGCUGGACUUGUAGUGACGCUGAGACGCGAAAGCGUGGGGAGCAAACAGG